RNAcentral lists this ribosomal RNA (262 nucleotides) under uncultured bacterium. RNAcentral's name for it is "partial 16S ribosomal RNA". It matches the Rfam family "Bacterial small subunit ribosomal RNA", at positions 92 to 354 of the family's 1533-position model. The record is from RNAcentral.
UUAGUGGCGGACGGGUGAGUAACGCGUGGAAAACCUGCCGUAUACCGGGGGAUAACACUUAGAAAUAGGUGCUAAUACCGCAUAAGCGCACAGCUUCGCAUGAAGCGGUGUGAAAAACUCUGGUGGUAUACGAUGGUUCCGCGUCUGAUUAGCUAGUUGGUGGGGUAAUGGCCUACCAAGGCAACGAUCAGUAGCCGGCCUGAGAGGGUGAACGGCCACAUUGGGACUGAGACACGGCCCAAACUCCUACGGAAGGCAGCAG